Molecule: long non-coding RNA, 2481 nt
Organism: Cavia porcellus (domestic guinea pig)
Lineage: Eukaryota; Metazoa; Chordata; Mammalia; Rodentia; Caviidae
Source: Ensembl
AAAAACCUAGGUGAGGAUACCACUUUCCCUCUCCCGUUACGAAGGCUAAGAAAGUCCACAAAAAGUAGGCAGCGCCUUGCGCGACACAGAGGCAGGGCGCCAGUGGCCGUUCCGAAGCUGCCAGUAGUAUGCAGGGCGCACGCGCGGCAGAAACCUCUGUCAGCGUCCCGUUAAACACACGCGCAAAGGGCCGCAAAGGCCACAGGUAGCCCUGGCCCCCAUCUCUAAGGCUGAUGGGGUCGGGGUGGGGUCACCUGCUAUUUCCGUCUAAGGGUGGGCCUUGCAGUCAGAGGGUCGGUCUCCGGCCUCAUUCCUCACCCCGCCAGGGUCUGCUCGUCUGGACAGAGAAAUGGCUGGAGCAGUGGCAGGGCGCGACGUACACCAGACCGGGGCUGUCCCUCUUGAGCCGCCGUAGUCAAGACCACGCCCUCUCCCGCUUCUGGCACAUGGUGCCAUCUGGCCAAUCACAGAACGUCAGGCUGCGUCUUCGGGAUUGGGGUGGACAUGGGCACUCUAGAGGAGCUGACUUCUGGAGGCAGAGAAGCCCAAGACAGGGAGCCCCCACCUGAUGAGGGCCACCUGUGUCACCCGAAGGCUGGAGGCAGAUGGACAAGAGCAGGUGAGAGAACAGCAGGAUCCCACUCCUCCUUGAACUCAGGGCCCCCAUUACUUCAUUGCCUCUUGAAGGCCCCACCUUGGCUCUGGAUGCCUUGCUGCCCUCAGAUGGCACAUGGUCAGGCUGUGAAUAAGGCCUUCAGCCCUGUAGCAGCUGAGCUGGGGUGACCGCAGCCUGGGUUGUAUGGUCUCUGCCACCUAGCAGGGAGCAGCAGGAAGAGACUGGUGGCUGCUCUGGGCAAACCCCAGUUUGGACAGCAAGCUGGUAGUGCUCAUCAGGGGGGUUCACAGGGGCAGCUGCCUGCCCCAUUGCUCCCCUGGCUGCCCUGGAGCCCACUGUAACCCCACCUUCCCUGUCCCAGCUCCAAGCAGCAUCUUCUGUACUGUCGUUGGCAGAUGAGACACCACAGUUUUUUGGCACCUUGCUCCAUUCCGCAAACCCACCAUCCUGACGAUGAAAUCCACAGAAGAUGCUGAUUUCCCCGUCCUUUGUUCUCCACCUCUGAUGAAAACUCCGGGAAGUUUUUACUCCUCCUCACUCUGGCCCUAGGUGCUGAUAGAGUUAACAGUAGCAGAGCCAGGUGAGGUGGUGCACACCUAUAAACCCAGCACUCUGGAGAUGAAAGCCAGGGAACACUGAGAGUUCAAGACCAGCCUGGGCUACACAGUGAGACCCUGUCUCAAAAAAAUAAAUGAUAAACAAAUAAAUAAUAAAUAUGCUGACUCUUCAGGCUGGGAUGUAGCUCAGUGGUAGAGGGCUUGGCUAAUAUGCACAAGUUCUGGGUUUGAUUCCCCAGUACUACAAAAAAGGAUUACUUGUAGCGCCCCUCUGUAGAUUGUUUUCCCCUUUUGUUUAUUUAUUUUUUUUUGGUGGUUCUUGGAAUGGAACUGAGGGUCCAGUGCAUGCUCUCACUGAGCUAUAUGCCAGCUGAGAGAGUCUUUAUUUAGCAUACACUUUCCUCGGCUCAGAGAAGGAAGGGUGUUACUGGCACUGCACCAGACUGCUCGGCUCCAAGGUCAAGACAUCACCCCCUUUGCUGGUUUGCUGGGACAAACAGAUUUGCUGGGAGGAGCCUUGAGCAUUGCCUUGCCUGCAGAUCCACUCAGCUUCCUGGGGCCACCACCUUCUGGUCAUCCCUGCUAUUUUCCACAUCUCCCACUGCCCGUGGGCUUUAGGAAACACACACAAAAGCUAGGCAGGCAGGCUUAGUAAGCUGUGGCAGCUGUGUGAAUUCUCAGCAUCUUGGGUAAGCAAAGAAAGAAAGAUCGGGGCCUUCAGAACCACAGUGGGCUGCCAAGGCAGCAGUAAGAUGGCACAGUGACCCGUACAGAGCUGACAGUGCAGAGAUGGUCUCCCUGGGACAGAAGAUAGUCACCACCACAGAUUUUUUUUUUUUUGUCUUUUUCAUUUUUUAUCGGUACCGGGGAUCGAACUCAUAACCGCCUGCUUGCAAGGCAGGUGCUUAUGCCGCUGAGCUAAACCCCCAGCCCCUAACCACCACAGAUUUGUCCCAGUGUCUCAGCACCGAGAGCUGCCAGUUUGGUUUCCCACCCCCUUUCUGGCCAUUCUCUCUUACUACUCCCGUAACACACAAUUUACCUUUUCUUUUUCAUCUUUUACAAAUGUUUUUAAAGUAUUAUUUAAUGGCACUACUUACAUUUAUAAUGUAUGACCAGGGCUGGAUGAGUAGUUCGGUGGCAGAGCACUUGCUAAGCAUGAGUGAGCCACUGGGUUCCAUUCUGAGCACUGCAAAAUGAACAAAAACCUCCCUUCAAAACCCCACCCCUAGGGAUAAGCAUAACAUUGUGUGUCCAGUCUCCAUAAUUCUUUCAUUUUAUCAGACUGAAACUCUGACUCCCUAUUCC